AAUAUUGAAGAAGAGCUAGGAGAUGAAGGACUAGAGAAUCCAACAUCAAUAAGGUUCUCAGGUCGUGUGUUCGAGUAUUGAUGAAGCUCCGCUCUGAUUGUGACACGGGAAAAAAUGGGUUUUAUAUAUGUAGAGUCCUCUAGUCUUAAUUAUUUUGUAUAAUUAAUAAUACUUUAUUUAAUUCAAAGAUUUGGUAUAAACUCGUAUUCUACUAAUUAAUGUUAUUAGUAAGGUUUGAAGUAA
Molecule: long non-coding RNA, 243 nt
Organism: Trifolium pratense (red clover)
Lineage: Eukaryota; Viridiplantae; Streptophyta; Magnoliopsida; Fabales; Fabaceae
Exons: 2
Source: RefSeq, a predicted model, not a curated record